This 253-nucleotide ribosomal RNA is filed under the name uncultured bacterium. RNAcentral describes it as "partial 16S ribosomal RNA". It matches the Rfam family "Bacterial small subunit ribosomal RNA", at positions 524 to 776 of the family's 1533-position model. The record is from RNAcentral.
UACGGAGGAUGCGAGCGUUAUCCGGAAUCAUUGGGUUUAAAGGGUCCGUAGGCGGUUUAAUAAGUCAGUGGUGAAAUCUGGUCGCUCAACGAUCAAACUGCCAUUGAUACUGUUAGACUUGAAUAAUUGUGAAGUAACUAGAAUAUGUAGUGUAGCGGUGAAAUGCUUAGAUAUUACAUGGAAUACCAAUUGCGAAGGCAGGUUACUAACAAUUUAUUGACGCUGAUGGACGAAAGCGUGGGGAGCGAACAGG